Molecule: ribosomal RNA, 750 nt
Filed under: uncultured Actinomyces sp.
Lineage: Bacteria; Bacillati; Actinomycetota; Actinomycetes; Actinomycetales; Actinomycetaceae
Description: bacterial SSU rRNA
Rfam family: Bacterial small subunit ribosomal RNA
Source: RNAcentral
GACGAACGNNGGCGGCGUGCUUAACACAUGCAAGUCGAACGCUGAAGCCCAGCUUGCUGGGUGGAUGAGUGGCGAACGGGUGAGUAACACGUGAGUAACCUGCCCCCUUCUUUGGGAUAACGCCCGGAAACGGGUGCUAAUACUGGAUAUUCACUGGCCUUCGCAUGGGGGUUGGUGGAAAGGUUUUUCUGGUGGGGGAUGGGCUCGCGGCCUAUCAGCUUGUUGGUGGGGUGAUGGCCUACCAAGGCUUUGACGGGUAGCCGGCCUGAGAGGGUGACCGGUCACAUUGGGACUGAGAUACGGCCCAGACUCCUACGGGAGGCAGCAGUGGGGAAUAUUGCACAAUGGGCGAAAGCCUGAUGCAGCGACGCCGCGUGAGGGAUGACGGCCUUCGGGUUGUAAACCUCUUUCGCUCAUGGUCAAGCCGCAGCUUUGGGUUGUGGUGAGGGUAGUGGGUAAAGAAGCGCCGGCUAACUACGUGCCAGCAGCCGCGGUAAUACGUAGGGCGCGAGCGUUGUCCGGAAUUAUUGGGCGUAAAGGGCUUGUAGGCGGUUGGUCGCGUCUGCCGUGAAAUCCUCUGGCUUAACUGGGGGCGUGCGGUGGGUACGGGCUGACUUGAGUGCGGUAGGGGAGACUGGAACUCCUGGUGUAGCGGUGGAAUGCGCAGAUAUCAGGAAGAACACCGGUGGCGAAGGCGGGUCUCUGGGCCGUUACUGACGCUGAGGAGCGAAAGCGUGGGGAGCGAACAGG